This 460-nucleotide ribosomal RNA is filed under the name uncultured bacterium. RNAcentral's name for it is "partial 16S ribosomal RNA". It matches the Rfam family "Bacterial small subunit ribosomal RNA", at positions 338 to 795 of the family's 1533-position model. The record is from RNAcentral.
UCUACGGGAGGCAGCAGUGAGGAAUAUUGGUCAAUGGACGAGAGUCUGAACCAGCCAAGUAGCGUGAAGGAUGACUGCCCUAUGGGUUGUAAACUUCUUUUAUAUGGGAAUAAAACGUUCCACGUGUGGGAUUUUGUAUGUACCAUAUGAAUAAGGAUCGGCUAACUCCGUGCCCGCAGCCGCGGUAAUACGGAGGAUCCGAGCGUUAUCCGAAUUUAUUGGGUGUAAAGGGAGCGUAGGGGGAUUGUUAAGUCAGUUGUGAAAGUUUGCGGUUCAACCGUAAAAUUGCAGGUGAAACUGGCAGUCUUGAGUACAGUAGAGGUGGGCGGAAUUAGUGGUGUAGCGGUGAAAUGCUUAGAUAUCACGAAGAACUCCGAUUGCGAAGGCAGUUCACUGGACUGCAACUGACACUGAGGCUCGAAAGUGUGGGUAUCAAACAGGAUUAGAUACCCCAGUAGUC